RNAcentral lists this long non-coding RNA (954 nucleotides) under Androctonus crassicauda. The record is from RNAcentral. Lineage: Eukaryota; Metazoa; Arthropoda; Arachnida; Scorpiones; Buthidae.
UGGAGGUGUCAAAAGUACCCUGAGUUGCUUCCAAAAAAAGGAUGGUACGGCCAUGCUUGCUCGACUUGGCGAGGGCAAUGCCGUGCCCCCAGAUACCUAAAUACAUACUAAGUCCACAUAACAUUAUACAUAGCAACAUACAAAACAACUACAAUAAAUAUUUACAGCAUAUAAUUUAUCGUUUUGAAUAUUUAAUUAAUUCUAAACGUCUAAUAUUAAAUAGAUCAUUCCGUAUCAUCUCCUGUUUGUCAAUUAACCGAAAAGGAAAUGAUCGCUUACAUAAAUCUAGUCUAACAGUCUUAUAAGUUAAUAACACAUUAGAUCUCAAUCUAAGGUCAGGCAUUUUAAACGAAAUAUCAAUAUCAUUUAUAUUAGAAUUUAAAUAAUAAUAUAAUAAUUUUAUAUCGUAAUAAAGAAUUCGAUGAUCAAUAUUCAUCUGUUUUAUUCGGGGCUGUCUGCUACGAAACUCUCGGCAGACAGCCCCGAAGAUUACAAUUUGAUGGGCUUUGGUCGUUCGGUCGCGAUGGUAUUUCCUCCUCCUCAUAUAUGUCUCGUCCACCUAGUCGAUGAAGGGAAAUGGAAGCGCUCGUUAAUGACCCCGCAUUCAAGAGGAGCAGUAAGAAGCUGGAGCAUUUCAUCGCUGCCAGUCCAUUAUGAACGAAAUCGCAGCUACCUCGACGUGUACUCCCGGCCCGCCGAUUUUGAUUGAUGAAUUCGAUAACGUUAUUUCGGCAACCUCGCAGUAAAAGCUGUAAUAGUCUACUGCUGUUAGCCUGCUCACCCCUACAAACUGCUUCGCGGUUGUAUCGAGAAACUUUCAAACCCAGCAGUAGACUAUUUGUACCAUCUGGAAAAUAAAAAAAAGUAUCAUCAGCAGCGGCAAACAAGCAGUCCCUGCGACGGCGUGCACACAACGGCAUAGCCGGCGCCGGGACCAACGGGGUUAAAUAUCAG